This 200-nucleotide ribosomal RNA is filed under the name Klebsiella pneumoniae. RNAcentral's name for it is "partial 16S ribosomal RNA". It matches the Rfam family "Bacterial small subunit ribosomal RNA", at positions 356 to 548 of the family's 1533-position model. The record is from RNAcentral. Lineage: Bacteria; Pseudomonadati; Pseudomonadota; Gammaproteobacteria; Enterobacterales; Enterobacteriaceae.
GGGGAAUAUUGCACAAUGGGCGCAAGCCUGAUGCAGCCAUGCCGCGUGUGUGAAGAAGGCCUUCGGGUUGUAAAGCACUUUCAGCGGGGAGGAAGGCGGUGAGGUUAAUAACCUUGUCGAUUGACGUUACCCGCAGAAGAAGCACCGGCUAACUCCGUGCCAGCAGCCGCGGUAAUACGGAGGGUGCAAGCGUUAAUCGG